GACGAACGCUGGCGGCGUGCUUAACACAUGCAAGUCGAACGGAAAGGCCCUGCUUUUGUGGGGUGCUCGAGUGGCGAACGGGUGAGUAACACGUGAGUAACCUGCCCUUGACUUUGGGAUAACUUCAGGAAACUGGGGCUAAUACCGGAUAGGAGCUCCUGCUGCAUGGUGGGGGUUGGAAAGUUUCGGCGGUUGGGGAUGGACUCGCGGCUUAUCAGCUUGUUGGUGGGGUAGUGGCUUACCAAGGCUUUGACGGGUAGCCGGCCUGAGAGGGUGACCGGCCACAUUGGGACUGAGAUACGGCCCAGACUCCUACGGGAGGAAGCAGUGGGGAAUAUUGCACAAUGGGCGGAAGCCUGAGGCAGCAACGCCGCGUGCGGGAGGACGGCCUUCGGGUGGUAAACCGCUUUCGCCUGUGACGAAGCGUGAGUGACGGUAAUGGGUAAAGAAGCACCGGCUAACUACGU
RNAcentral lists this ribosomal RNA (467 nucleotides) under uncultured bacterium. Its description in RNAcentral is "partial 16S ribosomal RNA". It matches the Rfam family "Bacterial small subunit ribosomal RNA", at positions 28 to 506 of the family's 1533-position model. The record is from RNAcentral.